AAAAAUGCGAUGCAGGGGAAAGCCGUGCUACGGUCCCUUUCAGAGAGCCGGCGGCCGGUGCGAGCCGGCAGGGAAGUAGUCGGAGUUCCGCCCCGAAGCAGCGCCUUUGAAGGCCGACUCUGGCUGGUAGAAGGUGACGGCAAAGGCCGUUAUAAAAAUCGAGCGCCAACAAGGGUGGCACCGCGGGAUAAUCCUCUCGCCCCUAAG
Molecule: non-coding RNA, 207 nt
Filed under: Fervidicola ferrireducens
Lineage: Bacteria; Bacillati; Bacillota; Clostridia; Thermosediminibacterales; Thermosediminibacteraceae
Description: T-box sequence
Rfam family: T-box leader
About the family: Uncharged tRNA acts as the effector for transcription antitermination of genes in the T-box leader family. T-boxes are found upstream of many aminoacyl-tRNA synthetase genes and some amino acid biosynthetic genes usually in Gram-positive bacteria.
Source: RNAcentral